RNAcentral lists this ribosomal RNA (380 nucleotides) under Lachnospiraceae bacterium oral taxon 086. Its description in RNAcentral is "bacterial SSU rRNA". It matches the Rfam family "Bacterial small subunit ribosomal RNA", at positions 28 to 384 of the family's 1533-position model. The record is from RNAcentral. Lineage: Bacteria; Bacillati; Bacillota; Clostridia; Lachnospirales; Lachnospiraceae.
GAUGAACGCUGGCGGCGUGCCUAACACAUGCAAGUCGAACGGAGAUUAUUCGCUGCGGAGCCUUCGGGCGAAGCUUGAAUGAUCUUAGUGGCGGACGGGUGAGUAACGCGUGGGCAACCUGCCUUGCACAGGGGGAUAGCAGUUGGAAACGACUGGUAAUACCGCAUAUCUUAGAGAGACCGCAUGAUCCUUUUAAGAAAACGUUAGUGGUGCAAGAUGGGCCCGCGUCCGAUUAGAUAGUUGGUGGGGUAACGGCCUACCAAGUCGACGAUCGGUAGCCGACCUAAGAGGGCGGGACGGGCCACAUUGGGACUGAGACACGGCCCAGACUCCUACGGGAGGCAAGCAGUGGGGAAUAUUGCACAAUGGAGGGAAACUUC